Molecule: long non-coding RNA, 361 nt
Filed under: Trifolium pratense (red clover)
Lineage: Eukaryota; Viridiplantae; Streptophyta; Magnoliopsida; Fabales; Fabaceae
Description: long non-coding RNA (TPRA_LNC002797)
Source: RNAcentral
AAAAAACUAAAUUAACAUUGUUCCCUGUUCGGCCUAUAAACCAAAACCAAGAAAAAUAAACAAUUUGCUCCACUAAAGAUGAUAUGUUGACACAGUCUCCUCUAAAAAUAAUGUUAUUAUGCGUACGCCAAAUACUCCAUGUCAUCGCCAGCCAAAUUAUAUGACGAAUUCGCUUGCUAUGAUUGCCUUUUGCUAAUUCACCAAACAAAGUGAAAUGGCUUGUGACGUCCUCAAAAGGGAUGACAUUAGUGNNNNNNNNNNAUUCGUGAUAAUACCUUUGCAAAAUAAAGCCUCCCGGGUUGGUAAUUUUUCAAGUAACAACCGCCAACCGAAAACGCUAACUUUUGAUGGAACAUUGUUC